Pogonomyrmex barbatus (red harvester ant) is the source of this 566-nucleotide long non-coding RNA. RefSeq lists it as uncharacterized. The record is from RefSeq and is a predicted model, not a curated record. NCBI's taxonomy places the organism in Eukaryota, Metazoa, Arthropoda, Insecta, Hymenoptera, Formicidae.
CGAGUUCUGUACAAGUGCAACGCCUCGUAUACAGCGAGUGGAGAGAGUAUCUCGUGUCGUGCUGCACUUCCGCUCCGUGAAGUAAAUCAUGUGCAUUGCAGUGCAACGGACCACCGGCGGCUGAGCGUAACGCGAGGCGAACUACCGGCACAUUAAUCAAAAGUGACGGAAGUGAUGAAAGGAACGAGUUCUAGAAUUGGUGAAAGUACCGAAGAAAAAGUUAAAAGAAGCAAAAAUAAGUUAAUUAAGGGACCGACGUUUCAAAAGUGCGAGGAAAAACGUGAUUUCUCAUCGCUGAAUCACGGAGAGAUCAAUUCAUCCCCAGGAUAACAAUUGCGGCGCAGAACCACUCCGGGCCGAAAUCAUCGACAAGCCGUCGAAACCAGAUCACAUCGCGUCACAUCCACACACUACUUCACUCUCCAUUCUGUGAAGCCGGAUUAACAACACCGGACGCCAAUCGAGAAAAACAAGUCCACAUACCGCUGAAUUUGCCAGGAAUAGCGUGCAACGAUCCCACGAAGAGAACCAACAACAGAAGCAAACGUAUCCUCGUGGUCAUGUCG